Molecule: small nucleolar RNA, 133 nt
Filed under: Otolemur garnettii (small-eared galago)
Lineage: Eukaryota; Metazoa; Chordata; Mammalia; Primates; Galagidae
Source: RNAcentral
AGAGGCCACUGACAGCUUGGAUGUGAGGCCACCAACCUCACAAAUGUAGGUAGUGCACUACACCAGGGGCAGCCUUUUCUCUAACACCACAAGGAUCUCCGGCCCUUGUGUGACAGUAAUCCUUGCUACACAC